UACAGAGGUCUCAAGCGUUGUUCGGAUUCAUUGGGCGUAAAGGGUGCGUAGGUGGCGCCGUAAGUCGGGUGUGAAAUUUCGGAGCUUAACUCCGAAACUGCAUUCGAUACUGCGGUGCUUGAGGACUGGAGAGGAGACUGGAAUUCAUGGUGUAGCAGUGAAAUGCGUAGAUAUCGAGAGGAACACCAGUGGCGAAGGCGAGUCCCUGGACAACACCUGACACUGAGGCACGAAAGCUAGGGGAGCAAACAGG
Molecule: ribosomal RNA, 253 nt
Filed under: uncultured prokaryote
Description: partial 16S ribosomal RNA
Rfam family: Bacterial small subunit ribosomal RNA
Source: RNAcentral